Molecule: ribosomal RNA, 445 nt
Filed under: Parazygiella montana
Lineage: Eukaryota; Metazoa; Arthropoda; Arachnida; Araneae; Araneidae
Description: partial 16S ribosomal RNA
Rfam family: Bacterial large subunit ribosomal RNA
Source: RNAcentral
UUUUUAUUGUUAUUAUAAUAAAUAAGACCUGCUCAAUGUUUAAUAAAUAGCCGCAGAAUUUUUACUGUGCUAAGGUAGCAUAAUCACUAGCCCUUUAAUUGAGGGCUUGUAUGAAAGGUUUCACAUUUAAAUAUCUUUUUUUAUUGUAAAUUUAAAAUUAUAUCAAAUAUAAAAAUAUAUUUAUCCAUAAAUUAGACGACAAGACCCUGUUGAACUUAACUUUAGUUUAGCUGGGGCAGCUAAUUAACUAACAUUUUAAUUUCUAUCAUUAAAUACAAUGAACCAAUUAAAUUGGUAAAAGGAACAAGUUACCACAGGGAUAACAGCGUAAUUUCUUUCUAAAGCUCUUAUUAAAAAAGAAGAUUGCGACCUCGAUGUUGAAUUAACAUUCCUUAUAAAACGCAAUAGUUUAUAAAGAAGGUCUGUUCGACCUUUAAACUGUUAC